AGACCCGAAACCCGGUGAUCUAGCCAUGGGCAGGUUGAAGGUUGGGUAACACUAACUGGAGGACCGAACCGACUAAUGUUGAAAAAUUAGCGGAUGACCUGUGGCUGGGGGUGAAAGGCCAAUCAAACCGGGAGAUAGCUGGUUCUCCCCGAAAGCUAUUUAGGUAGCGCCUCGUGAAUUCAUCUCCGGGGGUAGAGCACUGUUUCGGCUAGGGGGCCAUCCCGGCUUACCAACCCGAUGCAAACUGCGAAUACCGGAGAAUGUUAUCACGGGAGACACACGGCGGGUGCUAACGUCCGUCGUGAAGAGGGAAACAACCCAGACCGCCAGCUAAGGUCCCAAAGUCAUGGUUAAGUGGGAAACGAUGUGGGAAGGCCCAGACAGCCAGGAUGUUGGCUUAGAAGCAGCCAUCAUUUAAAGAAAGCGUAAUAGCUCACUGGUCGAGUCGGCCUGCGCGGAAGAUGUAACGGGGCUAAACCAUGCACCGAAGCUGCGGCAGCGACACUGUGUGUUGUUGGGUAGGGGAGCGUUCUGUAAGCCUGUGAAGGUGUGUCGUGAGGCAUGCUGGAGGUAUCAGAAGUGCGAAUGCUGACAUAAGUAACGAUAAAGCGGGUGAAAAGCCCGCUCGCCGGAAGACCAAGGGUUCCUGUCCAACGUUAAUCGGGGCAGGGUGAGUCGACCCCUAAGGCGAGGCCGAAAGGCGUAGUCGAUGGGAAACGGGUUAAUAUUCCCGUACUUGGUGUUACUGCGAAGGGGGGACGGAGAAGGCUAUGUUGGCCGGGCGACGGUUG
RNAcentral lists this ribosomal RNA (791 nucleotides) under Salmonella enterica. RNAcentral's name for it is "partial 23S ribosomal RNA". It matches the Rfam family "Bacterial large subunit ribosomal RNA", at positions 711 to 1504 of the family's 2925-position model. The record is from RNAcentral. Lineage: Bacteria; Pseudomonadati; Pseudomonadota; Gammaproteobacteria; Enterobacterales; Enterobacteriaceae. RNAcentral also lists the same sequence under 1 other name.